AGUGAACGCUGGCGGUAGGCCUAACACAUGCAAGUCGAACGGCAGCACAGUAAGAGCUUGCUCUUACGGGUGGCGAGUGGCGGACGGGUGAGGAAUACAUCGGAAUCUACUUUUUCGUGGGGGAUAACGUAGGGAAACUUACGCUAAUACCGCAUACGACCUACGGGUGAAAGCAGGGGAUCUUCGGACCUUGCGCGAUUGAAUGAGCCGAUGUCGGAUUAGCUAGUUGGCGGGGUAAAGGCCCACCAAGGCGACGAUCCGUAGCUGGUCUGAGAGGAUGAUCAGCCCACCUGAAACUGGACAACGUCCCAGCUCCUUACGGAGGCAGCAGUGGGGAAUAUUGGACAAUGGGCGCAAGCCUGAUCCAGCCAUACCGCGUGGGUGAAGAAGGCCUUCGGGUUGUAAAGCCCUUUUGUUGGGAAAGAAAAGCAGCAGGUUAAUACCCCGCUGUUCUGACGGUACCCAAAGAAUAAGCACCGGCUAACUUCGUG
Molecule: ribosomal RNA, 491 nt
Filed under: uncultured bacterium
Lineage: Bacteria
Description: partial 16S ribosomal RNA
Rfam family: Bacterial small subunit ribosomal RNA
Source: RNAcentral